Molecule: unclassified non-coding RNA, 2118 nt
Filed under: Hevea brasiliensis (rubber tree)
Lineage: Eukaryota; Viridiplantae; Streptophyta; Magnoliopsida; Malpighiales; Euphorbiaceae
Source: RNAcentral
CACUGCCCAUUUUUUUCUAUAUUAAACCCCUUGUUCUGCCCUCUACUUUGUACCUAUAAACCACAUAUAUUCAUGCAUUCCUUUUCUGAACCAGUAACCUGCUUGCUUGCUGUUUCUUUCUCUCACAUAACUGUACAACAGUUUAUAUAUAUACAUAUAUAUAUUUUGCGUUUCUCUGGAGAGGCUCAAGUUUUUGCAGAGAAAUGAGCAUCUUUUCGUUGGUCACAGGAUGGCCUGGUCCUAGUGGGUUUGGAUCGGCUUCUACUGCUGAGCAGGUUACAGAAGGGAUUGAUGCUUCCAAUCUUACUGCUAUUAUCACUGGUUAGCUUUGCAUUUUCUCCUCUUAAAGGUUAUUAAUUCGUGUUUGUAUUAGCUUAAUGUAUGGUUUUUGGAUUUUCUUUCAGUUUUUCUCGAAAAUCAAAUUUUCAUGAAAUUAAAUUGACCCUUUUUUAUUGGUAAUCAAAUUUGAUAAUUGAGCUUCAAGUUGAAGCUCAUGAUCCUCUGGUUUACAUAAAUGCUGGUCUAGUAUUAUAAUCUGAAAGAAGGAAGAAGAAGAUAACAAAUGAAAGUAUGGAUGCAGGUGGAGCAACUGGGAUAGGAUUGGAGACUGCAAGAGUCCUGGCUCUUCGUAAGGCUCAUGUGAUUAUAGCAGCAAGGAACAUGGAGAAUGCAAAUGAAGCAAAGCAAUUCAUUCUUAAAGAGGUUGAAGAUGCCAGAGUGGAUGUUCUGAAACUGGAUUUGGCCUCUAUGAAAUCUGUCAGAGAAUUUGCUGACAACUUCAUUGCACUUAAUCUACCACUUAACAUCUUAAUGUGAGAUCUCUAUCUCCCUUUUCCUUAUGCCUGUUUACUAGACUUACCUGCCACCUACUCCAUUAUAUAAAUACCAUGAUUCUCAACGUACAUAUUGCAUAUAUAUCCGAGUCAUAAUGAAUCAUUUUAAUUAGAGUUUUUAUUUUUUAAUUUUUUAUUUAAAAAACUGAUACACAUGAAUGUAAUUUUUUCAAGUUUCUUAAAUUUUUUUCAUAACUUAUUUUCUUGUCCACUUCAAAUUAAUAUUAGCUGAUAAGGGAAUUAAAUUGCCUGUGUUACAGCAAUAAUGCGGGUAUUAUGUUCUGCCCAUACCAGCUUACUGAAGAUGGAUUAGAGAUGCAAUUUGCUACUAAUCAUAUUGGUCAUUUCCUCUUGACAAACCUUCUCCUGGACAAAAUGAAAGACACUGCAAAAAACACUGGCAUUGAGGGCAGGAUUGUGAAUUUAUCAUCAAUUGCCCACGUCCACACUUACAGAAAUGGAAUUAAAUUUGAUAAUAUCAAUAAUAAGAGAAGUUACUCUGAUAAAAGGGCAUAUGGGCAAUCCAAGCUAGCCAACUUACUUCAUGUCAAAGAGCUUACCCGUCGCUUUCAGGAAGAGGGUGUGAAUAUUACUGCCAAUGCAGUCCAUCCAGGACUAAUAAUGACCAAUCUAAUGAAACAUUCUGCACUGCUGAUGAGAAUAUUGAAGUUCUUUACCUUUCUGCUAUGGAAGAAUGUACCUCAGGGAGCAGCAACCACAUGCUAUGUGGCACUUCACCCAAGUUUGAAAGGGGCAAGUGGAAAAUACUUUGUGGAUUGCAAUGAGAUAAAACCAAGCGCAUUUGCUAUGGAUGAAUUGCUUGCAAGAAAACUGUGGGAUUUCAGCAACAAGCUCAUUAGCUCAGCUUCAAAAGCUUAAAACAAAUUGAUUAAUUAUGUCUGAGGCUUAAUUCAAGCUUUAAGAUAAAGCAAUAAGAGAAAAGCUAAAGAGCCACAUUUCUCCUCCAUUUCUGAUAUAUACUUAGGAGUGAUCCAUAUAGUACAAGUCAAUUCUAUUAGUUCAGUAUAUAUUCAAAUAUUAAUGUGUUCCUUUAUUCCUCUAUUGUAAUGGGAAUGGAUUUAUUUUAUCAAAGAGGGUGAAUAUGCCACUAGUUGAUUUGGCAGUAGCCUAGUUUGGAAUUAAAGUUAAAUCACAUCCCAACAUUCUAUAUGGAAAACUUUUAUUUAGAUUCGGUCCAUAUUGGAAACAGCAAUACGCUAAAGAUUAAGGAUGUUAAAACUAUUUUGCAAUAUCUACUAACAAAGUUCGAGUUUUAAUCUUUUAA